This 1284-nucleotide ribosomal RNA is filed under the name Theretra japonica. Its description in RNAcentral is "16S ribosomal RNA". Lineage: Eukaryota; Metazoa; Arthropoda; Insecta; Lepidoptera; Sphingidae. The record is from RNAcentral.
GUUAAAAAUAUUUAAUGGGGGUUAAAGUAUUUUUAAUUGAAAAAAUUUGAAAUUUUAUAGUAAAUUAGUAUUGUGAAAGAAUUUUGAAAUAAUAAUUUAAAUAAAAAUUAUUAUAAAAGUAAAUUUUAUUUAUUGUAUCUUGUGUAUCAGAGUUUGUUAAAAAUUGUUUAUUUAUUUAAGUUUCUCGAAUUUAAAAGAGUUAAUUAAUUAAGAAAUUUAUUGUUUCAUAAAUAUUUUAAAUAAUUAAUUAGAAAUGAAAUGUUAAUCGUUUUUAAAUAUAUCUAGUUAUUUUAGAAAAAAAUUUAAUUUUUAAUUUUAAUUUAAAUUUAAUUAAUUAAUUAAUUAAAUUUAAAUUAAAAUUUAAUAUUUUAAGGGAUAAGCUUUAAUUUAAAUUAUUAUAAUAAAUAAUUUAAUUUUUGAAAAUUUUAUAAUUUAUAUUGUUAAUAAAUUUUAAUUUAUUAUAAAUAAUUUCAUAAAAAUUAAAAAUUUAAUUAAAAAUUUAAUUUUUUAUAAAAAAAUUUUUUUUAAUAAUAAAAAAUUAGUUAUAAUGAUAAAAUUAGUAUAUAAAUAUUGAAUUUAAACUAUAAAUAAUAAUAAAGUUAUUUUAAAGGAAUUCGACAAAAAAUUAUAUUCACCUGUUUAUCAAAAACAUGUCUUUUUGUUAAUAAUUUAAAGUCUAAUCUGCCCACUGAUUUUAUAAUUAAAGGGCUGCAGUAUAUUGACUGUACAAAGGUAGCAUAAUCAUUAGUCUCUUAAUUGGUGACUUGUAUGAAAGAUUGGAUGAAAUAUAAAUUGUCUCUAAGAUAUUUAUUAGAAAUUAAUUUUUUAAUUAAAAAGUUAAAAUAGAUUAAAAAGACGAGAAGACCCUAUAGAGUUUUAUAUUUAUUAUUUUUGAAAUUUUAAUUAAAUAAUUUUAUUUUGGAAAUUAAUUAAAUAUUUUAUUGGGGUGAUAGAAAAAUAAAUUAAACUUUUUUUUACAUAAAACAUAAAUAAGUGAAUAAUUGAUCCGGUAUUAUUGAUUAUAAGAAAAAAUUACCUUAGGGAUAACAGCGUAAUUUUUUUUUUUAGUUCAAAUAAGAAAAAGAGUUUGCGACCUCGAUGUUGGAUUAAGAUAAAAUUUAAAUGCAGAAGUUUAAAAUUUUGAUCUGUUCGAUCAUUAAAAUCUUACAUGAUCUGAGUUCAAACCGGUGUAAGCCAGGUUGGUUUCUAUCUUUUAAAUAAUAUUAUAUUUUAGUACGAAAGGAUUAAAUAUUAUAAUUAAAUUAAGUUAGGUUGAUUUUUAUU